Molecule: ribosomal RNA, 505 nt
Filed under: uncultured bacterium
Lineage: Bacteria
Description: partial 16S ribosomal RNA
Rfam family: Bacterial small subunit ribosomal RNA
Source: RNAcentral
GACGAACGCUGGCGGCGUGCCUAAUACAUGCAAGUAGAACGCACAGUUUAUACCGUAGCUUGCUACACCAUAAACUGUGAGUUGCGGACGAGUGAGUAACGCGUAGCUAACCUUCCUGGUAGCGUGGGAUAACUAUUGUAAACGAAAGCUAAUACCGCAUAAUAGUGAUUAUUGCAUGAUAAUUGAUUGAUAGAUGCUAUUGCAUCGCUACCAGAUGAACCUGCGUUGUAUUAGCUAGUAGGUGAGGUAACGGCUCACCUAGGCGACGAUACAUAGCCGACCUGAGAGGGUGAUCGGCCACACUGGGACUGAGAAAAGGCCCAGACUCCUACGGGAGGCAGCAGUAGGGAAUCUUCGGCAAUGGACGACAGUCUGAACGAGCAAAGACGGGUGAGUGAAGAAGGUUUUCGGAUCGUAAAGCUCUGUUGUAAGAGAAGAAAGGGUGUGAGAGUGGAAAGUCCACACUGUGACGGUAUCUUAACAGAAAGGGACGGCUAACUACGUG